GAGUUGUUGUGAUUGCUGCGUAAGCGGUUUGGAGCAGAGGUUGCAGCUGCUGCUGAUUGCAGGCCGAAAAGAAAGGGUUUCUUGAUGCAUUUGGUUUAUGAGUUUCGAUUAUUCGAGGAAUUGGAUGAAGAAGCAUUAUGAAGAGUUAUACUGCGUUUUGGUUUAUAAGAUGUUGUAUUAAUUAGAUUAUUUUUCUCCUCUCAUCUUUGUUAUUACGACUCUGUAAGAGGGAUAGGAGUUGUGUGUUUUAUAUGUAUAUUAUAUUAUAAGCUAUUAUAUAAGAAAUCUUGU
Non-coding RNA from Arachis ipaensis, 291 nucleotides. NCBI's taxonomy places the organism in Eukaryota, Viridiplantae, Streptophyta, Magnoliopsida, Fabales, Fabaceae. The record is from RefSeq and is a predicted model, not a curated record.